GCAGUUGAACGCACGCGACUCAUCUGGAGACACACGACUCACUUGGACAAACUUUUCUACCACGGAACACCUCGCAUAUCAACUUUUUGCACAUCCUGAAAGCCUGGGAGAAUACAUAACAGAGUGCUCUAUGGGUUCAGCAGGCUCUGAUAUAGACACGGAACUGUUGCGCAACUGCGCCGAGAAUAUGGUGACCAGCACAUUGGAGCUCCAAAUGGACACUAACCCUGCCACUGCGGACGCCCUCGACAAGAAGAAAAAAAAGACUGCGCGCAGAAAAAUGUUUAUUUUGAAUGAGCUGAUUCAAACCGAAAAGCCCUAUGUGCGAGACCUACGGGAAUGCAUUGACAUUUACAUGAGGGAGAUGUUGACCAAGGAGGAAGAGAUCCCUCCUGGAAUCGUCAAUGUGGAGCACGUCCUCUUUGGGAACAUUUUGGAGCUGUAUUAAUUCCAUCACAGAUAAGCGUUAGCAGUGACCUUACUCAAAAAUGAUUUAGAUCUUUACGUAGAGUGGACCAAGCUUAACAAAUAGGCUAUUCCUGGUCAAUUAUCACAUGUAAAACAUUGUCUUACAUUACAGACAUUACCACAAGUUUGUUUGUAUGCACUCUUCCACUUCAUUGAGUGAGAUGUAUGCAAACCUUUAACAGCAAUGGCCACCGCUCUUAUUUUGAAAUGUAUUAAUUGAGUUCCUUGUCAUAUCUUUCUUCAGCAUCUGUCAUGUCAUUUCCAUCUCGGCCUGACAGUAUCUUUCUCAAAGAGCUGGAAAAAUACGAACAAGUCCCCGAAGAUGUCGGAAAGUGCUGCGUCACAUGGAACAUUCAGCAAAAGCACGGACUUGCCUACUCAGUGGACUAUUACCUGCUGAAGCCCGUGCAGAGAAUUACAAAAUAUCCAUUCCUGUUAAAGGAUCUGCUGGAAUGCUGUGAAGAAGGGAAAGCCGAACUCAUGAAAGCCCUGGAUGUGACUCUCAGCAUUCCCAAGAGAGCCAACGAUGCCAUGCAUCUGUCCGUGCUGGAAGCAUUGAGUCCCAAGGCAAGCUGCUCCUACAGGAGCCCUUCAAGGUGUGGGAUUCAAAGAUCCCAUUCAAAAUGGGGAAAAAUAGACAACUCUUCCUCUUGGAGAAGUCCUUGGUUGUGUGCAAGGUAGUCAAGGACAACAAGGGGAAAGCAGGUGCAGAUAUCAGAGAAAACUCAAUAUUGCCGAGAUAAAGCUGACAGAGCACCUGAAGGGAGACGCCCGCAAGUUUGCGUUUUCGUUGGGCCGAACCUGGACACGGAGCAGCAGUGUUCUGAAGGGCCUCCACUACUGAGAUCAAGAUGGACUGGAUCGAACAUAUCUGGAAGCUGAUCCAGGAGCACACCAUCAACCUGGGGAAAGCGCUCAAGGAGCCAAGGCGUAUUCCCAAAAGUAGCAACAGACAAGCUCCACAAGAGUCAAAGAGCGAAAAGGACAAAGCCGAUGGUGAUGAGAAGCAGCCAAGAAAAAAUCCUUGACGUGUAGAAGGCCAUGGCGUCACCUCGGACCUGCCCGGCUGAAAGGAAGGAUCGCUGCUCUGCUGAGGGUUGGCGGGCAGGAUAUGGGCAGGGCUUUUACUCCACACUACAGUUUGUCACCACGCACAAAGGAAAUGCUUUUAAUGAUUUAUUAUAUUUCAACAAAUAUCCCUUGUCACGACGAAACAAUUCCCUCUUUGUCAUUUAUCUCCCCUUACAGUGUUUUGAUAUCUGAACGGGCAUUUUUUUCAAGAAUACAUUUUUAUAUGAAAUAUUCUGUUGAGUACCGUAUUUUCCACACUAUUAGGCCACCGCAGUAUAAGACGCACCUUCAAUGAAUGGCUUACAUGUAGUCCUGAGGUUACGAACGAGUUCCGUUCCUACACUGGUGAAGGAAAACGAAUUUCCGCGUAAGUCGGAAUUAACCCUUUAAGUACCCCUAAAUUACUAUCCAAACGUCCAAAAGUAUUGCAUUUUGUUUAAUGAUGGAGGAUGCACUAGCCUCUGGUGGCAGCGUUGGGUC
Molecule: long non-coding RNA, 2019 nt
Organism: Corythoichthys intestinalis (scribbled pipefish)
Lineage: Eukaryota; Metazoa; Chordata; Actinopteri; Syngnathiformes; Syngnathidae
Exons: 10
Source: RefSeq, a predicted model, not a curated record